GGUGGCAUUGCAUUCACAGAGAUGCUGAGUGGAUUAAGUAUGAAAACCUGGAAGUGGAUGAUCAAGUGCCUGGAAUCAAUCAAGUUAAAAUUAUUCUGUGAGAACAGCCUCUCUCAGCCACAUAUGAAGUUCCUGCUAAAGCUUACAGUCAUGGUGAACUUGGCUGCUAACAUCCAGAAGAGGAGGAUUUGCCAGAAAAUACCAUCUACUCAUCACUGUGUCCAGAUUUCUCUUCCAUCUUUUAGUAGGAUAACCCUGAGCUGAAUUUUCUUUGUAAGUUACUCCAAAUCUACUCUCCACCCCACUCAAUGCCCCACAAAAUUGACCUGUACAGACUAUAUCAACUGGAAUGCCUUGCCUUCUAAUUCCUUUUAAGUUUAACCAAUAGGACCAACUGACAGGAAAUUUCAAACUGGGAGGAAAGAGAGGUAAGGAGGUAUUCCCUCAACUAGUCUUCAGUUGGCAGUAUCUGCAAACUUCCACUGAAGCCCAUAGCUCCUGCUGAGCAGCCCUCUCCAAAGCUCUUUCUUUGCAGGCUCUGAUAACUGCUCUUUCUCUUUACCUUAGUGUUUAUCAUUAGUCAAGCCUAAGUGUGAUAAUGGCUUCAAAUUGGAGUUAGUUCUAGAAUGCAUCAACAUCGUUUUUUGGUUUUCUUUGCUCACAUAUUUGUAAGUAGCCCCUUGAGGCUGUCUCAUUAUCUUUUUUGAGAGUGCCAUCUAUUUCCUGAACGAUUCAGGGCCCUGUCAACAUUUUUUUCUUAUGGAAACAGAGAGAGGAGGACUGAGAUAUUUUGAGUUACAGAAUGAUAGAUUUAGAACUGGAAAGAAGAUUUAUAUACCAAAACAUGAUGAAAUGGGAUCCAUAAAUAAAAAGUGUUCUUCCCAAGUCAAAGAGCUAAUUUCUUGAGGCAAUGAGGCCAUAAUCAGUUUUCCAACUCCUGGUCAACUCCUUUUUUAAAAAAAAAAACUUAACAACAUCUGGAUUUAAUCAUCCAGAAUCUAAAUAUUGAGAUGAGUCAAUAGGAAUAUGAGUCUUGCUUCAUUUAUUUACCUUUUUGCUUUUUUAAUGUAAUUGCUUUUUGAGGAAGAUUAAUAAGUAGACUGGAAAAGAAGGAGAUCAAUGGAAAUGAAACAGGAUAAAUGAAGAAAGACUAGCACAGAUAAGGACUGCAUUGUAGGGACAGUGGUAGUUGACUUUCUAAAUAGCAGUUAUUGAAAAUACUUGCUGUAGCAUUCCUGGUUGAUGUUUUCAGUUUAUGUUGUGGAUAAAUAGGCCCUGUACCCAGAGUACAUUUUGUGUCUGAAACAAUAAAUUCACAGCUGCCAACCUCACAUAAAAAAAGGGUCACAAUUUCACAAUAUGGGCUCAACUUGGGCUUUGAAUCUGUAUUUCAGUGCUGGAAAAUACAUAUUUCCAUUAUACAAUUAACCUUCCCAGUAUAAGCAUAAACCACCCCAGAACUUAUACUGAUAUAAAAAUUUUACUUUUUAUGUAUACCUGAUGUAUUAUUUUAUGUCUUGUAGAGAUCUACA
This 1532-nucleotide long non-coding RNA is filed under the name Homo sapiens (human). RNAcentral describes it as "HSALNT0128559". Lineage: Eukaryota; Metazoa; Chordata; Mammalia; Primates; Hominidae. The record is from RNAcentral.